This 497-nucleotide ribosomal RNA is filed under the name uncultured bacterium. Its description in RNAcentral is "partial 16S ribosomal RNA". It matches the Rfam family "Bacterial small subunit ribosomal RNA", at positions 28 to 507 of the family's 1533-position model. The record is from RNAcentral.
GAUGAACGCUGGCGGCGUGCCUAAUACAUGCAAGUCGAGCGAACGGACGAGAAUCUUGCUUCUCUGAUGUUAGCGGCGGACGGGUGAGUAACACGUGGAUAACCUACCUAUAAGACUGGGAUAACUUCGGGAAACCGGAGCUAAUACCGGAUGAUAUUUUGAACCGCAUGGUUCAAAAGUGAAAGACGGUCUUGCUGUCACUUAUAGAUGGAUCCGCGCUGCAUUAGCUAGUUGGUAAGGUAACGGCUUACCAAGGCAACGAUGCAUAGCCGACCUGAGAGGGUGAUCGGCCACACUGGAACUGAGACACGGUCCAGACUCCUACGGGAGGCAGCAGUAGGGAAUCUUCCGCAAUGGGCGAAAGCCUGACGGAGCAACGCCGCGUGAGUGAUGAAGGUCUUCGGAUCGUAAAACUCUGUUAUUAGGGAAGAACAUAUGUGUAAGUAACUGUGCACAGCUUGACGGUACCUAAUCAGAAAGCCACGGCUAACUACGUG